CGUAAAGGGCGCGUAGGCGGUUAUGAAAGUCAGAUGUGAAAUUCCGGGGCUCAACCCCGGAGCUGCAUUUGAAACUUCAUGACUAGAGUCCAGUUAGGGUAAACGGAAUUCCACGUGUAGCAGUGAAAUGCGUAGAUAUGUGGAAGAACACCGGUGGUGAAAACGGUUUACUGGGAUGAGACUGACGCUGAGGCGCGAAAGCAUGGGGAGCAAACAGGAUUAGAUACCCUGGUAGUCCAUGCCUUAAACGAUGCAUACUAGGUGUAGGAGGGCUCAACCCCCCCUGUACCGGAGCUAACGCAUUAAGUAUGCCGCCUGGGGAGUACGCUCGCAAGGGUGAAACUCAAAAGAAUUGACGGGGGCCCGCACAAGCAGUGGAGCAUGUGGUUUAAUUCGAUGCAACGCGAAGAACCUUACCUGGGCUCGAAAUGUAGAGGACGACAUCAGAGAUGAUGUUUCUCGAAAGGGUCUCUAUAUAGGUGCUGCAUGGCUGUCGUCAGCUCGUGCCGUGAGGUGUUUGGUUAAGUCCAGCAACGAGCGCAACCCUUAUCGUUAGUUGCCAGCGCGUAAUGGCGGGAACUCUAACGAGACUGCCUGGGUUAACCAGGAGGAAGGUGAGGAUGACGUCAAGUCCGCAUGGCCUUUAUGUCCAGGGCUACACACGUGCCACAAUGGUCGGUACAGAAGGCAGCGAAACCGCAAGGUGAAGCAAAUCCCGAAAAACCGAUCUCAGUUCAGAUUGUAGUCUGCAACUCGGCUACAUGAAGUUGGAAUUGCUAGUAAU
Molecule: ribosomal RNA, 784 nt
Filed under: uncultured Chlamydiae bacterium
Lineage: Bacteria; Pseudomonadati; Chlamydiota; Chlamydiia
Description: bacterial SSU rRNA
Rfam family: Bacterial small subunit ribosomal RNA
Source: RNAcentral